UCUUGUUUGGGAGUGCUUGAUUAACGGAAGGUGUAAAGAAUGGCGACGACGACCACCAGUAUUGGCGGCGGGGGCGGCGGUGGUGGUGGGGAGGAUAGAGUUAUGGCUACCGCUCAGCAGAUAGUCAAUAGCCUUAAUACUCCUAAGGAGGUUCGAGACGACAUGCUUUUGAUCUUCUCUAGUUUUGACAAUCGUCUUUCUAAUAUCACCAGUUUGGUCAACAGUGGGGAUUCGAAGAAGGAGGAGGAUCGAUUUGAAGCUGCUGAGAAGGUGAUUCUUCGUUGGGAUUCUGGUCAUGGAGCUUCUCGGAACUCGAUUAAUUG
This 323-nucleotide unclassified non-coding RNA is filed under the name Hevea brasiliensis (rubber tree). Lineage: Eukaryota; Viridiplantae; Streptophyta; Magnoliopsida; Malpighiales; Euphorbiaceae. The record is from RNAcentral.